This 483-nucleotide ribosomal RNA is filed under the name uncultured bacterium. RNAcentral's name for it is "partial 16S ribosomal RNA". It matches the Rfam family "Bacterial small subunit ribosomal RNA", at positions 30 to 506 of the family's 1533-position model. The record is from RNAcentral.
AUUGAACGCUGGCGGCAGGCCUAACACAUGCAAGUCGAGCGGAUGAAGGGAGCUUGCUCCUGGAUUCAGCGGCGGACGGGUGAGUAAUGCCUAGGAAUCUGCCUGGUAGUGGGGGAUAACGUCCGGAAACGGGCGCUAAUACCGCAUACGUCCUGAGGGAGAAAGUGGGGGAUCUUCGGACCUCACGCUAUCAGAUGAGCCUAGGUCGGAUUAGCUAGUUGGUGGGGUAAAGGCCUACCAAGGCGACGAUCCGUAACUGGUCUGAGAGGAUGAUCAGUCACACUGGAGCUGAGACACGGUCCAGACUCCUACGGGAGGCAGCAGUGGGGAAUAUUGGACAGAGGGCGAAAGCCUGAUCCAGCCAUGCCGCGUGUGUGAAGAAGGGCUGCGGAUUGUAAAGCACUUUAAGUUGGGAGGAAGGGCAGUAAGUUAAUACAUGGCUGUUUUGACGUUACCAACAGAAUAAGCACCGGCUAACUGCGU